GUACACUCCUACGGGAGGCAGCAGUGGGGAAUAUUGGACAAUGGGCGCAAGCCUGAUCCAGCCAUGCCGCGUGAGUGAUGAAGGCCCUAGGGUUGUAAAGCUCUUUCACCGGUGAAGAUAAUGACGGUAACCGGAGAAGAAGCCCCGGCUAACUUCGUGCCAGCAGCCGCGGUAAUACGAAGGGGGCUAGCGUUGUUCGGAUUUACUGGGCGUAAAGCGCACGUAGGCGGACUAUUAAGUCAGGGGUGAAAUCCCGGGGCUCAACCCCGGAACUGCCUUUGAUACUGGUAGUCUUGAGUUCGAGAGAGGUGAGUGGAAUUCCGAGUGUAGAGGUGAAAUUCGUAGAUAUUCGGAGGAACACCAGUGGCGAAGGCGGCUCACUGGCUCGAUACUGACGCUGAGGUGCGAAAGCGUGGGGAGCAAACAGGAUUAGAAACCCCAGUAGUCCCA
This 450-nucleotide ribosomal RNA is filed under the name uncultured organism. RNAcentral describes it as "partial 16S ribosomal RNA". It matches the Rfam family "Bacterial small subunit ribosomal RNA", at positions 331 to 797 of the family's 1533-position model. The record is from RNAcentral.